UGUUUAAAAUUGAUUAAAAAUACAGCUUUGGAGUAGUUGAAUAUAACUGUUUAUUAAAUCUAAAAGAAACUUUCUCUCUGUCUAAUAUGAUGGAAUAUAUAAAAUAACUGUGUGUAACAUUAUAAAAUGUAGAUGUUUUAAGAUUCAUAAUUAAGAUUCGUAAUUAAUGUUGACACGUAUGUAUGAGGAAUUUAAAAAUGCUGAAGAUUUAUAAUUUUGAUAAAUUUACGUCUAUUAAUAUUAAUUAUACAGGGAUUAGAUUUUUUUUAUGAAAUUAAUUCUCCUGUUGAAUAUUUUUCCAAAUUAUGAAGAAAAUGUUACUCUCAUGUUAUUCUCAUGUGCUUUUAGCAUAGUAAUUAUUUUUCGACACAUUUAUUAUUUGUAUUUUCUUUUAUUAAGAACGCUUCCUGUAUAGCGAUGUUAUCAUGUUUUAAAAACGCGUGUUUUUUUGCAUUUAUUUUUUAUGCAGUAGUCUAGUUAGGUACAAAAAAUAUGCACAAAUAUUUUUUCUCAUACAGUGUGCACGCGUUCCAGAUUUUCAAAACGCUGUAAUAAUUUAAUAAAAACUUUACGUAACGACAUGUGGCAGAAAUUGAUUUUCCAUAUUCCACGUUUUUUGCUGAAUACAUGCUCUUUUGGCUAUGUUGAAUAUAUGCUCUUUUACCAUGACACCUACAUAUACAAAUAUCUUUUUAGAAAAUUACAUAUCUCUCAUAUUGUGUAUGUAAUAUCUUUAUAUACAAAAAUAUGUCUUAUUCUAAUCAGAUCUUUUAUUCCAGUGUUUCAGAAAAUAGUGAUCUAGAGUGACUUGUGUGUUGAGAAAGUUCUACGAAGUUGCUAACCAGGACGGUCUAAGAGGAGGAAGAGGCCUAAGGGAGACAUUAGGCAUCGGCGGAGCAACUUUGCGAAUCAUCGUAGUCGACGUUGCAGACAACUCCGCUGUUGCGCAUCGGUCGGUGAGUGAAGAAUGUUUUUUUACCGAGGUAAUGGACCUGUGACAAUUGGAGCAUAUGUAUGUCUCUCGAUAUGCGCAUACGUCAAAUUAGGACAGUGAAUUAUUACGUGAAAGUAUUUCAUGUCAUACAUGUCCAUUCUCUUAAAAUGUAAAAUAUCGCUUGACAUGAUUGCAAAUAUGUCGCAUGAAUGACUGUAAAUCUAAAUAAGAGCUUGACACAAAUUGGACUUUAUAAGUACAGGCCAAUUUAGAAAAAUUGAUAGCCGAGUUUAAUCAAGAUAUAUUUGAAUAUCUAUGUACAUUUUUUUUUAAAAUAGAGUUGAUUUUGCUGUGCGAUAUGAUGCAGCCGAUGAAAUUGGAGUAAAUUUAAAAUGUAAAGAAAUGCAAGAAUACUCGGCGAAAAUUUUAUUUUAUAAAAUAUUCAAUAUUCUAUAGACGAAAAAUUCUUUGGUAUACAACGCCUGGAAUUUAUUUUUUUUUUACGAUGUACAACGUGUUGUGUUUACGCAAGGCUAUACCAUUUGUGCGACGAGACUCGAGCAGCAAACAAGCAGUGGCAUGUCGCUACAUAUUCGUCGUUAUUACUUUUCAAAACGCAGUCAUUCUUUGAACAAUUAGCGAUUAUCAAUCCGUACAAUUGAUUGAUUUAAAUGUUAAUAAUUUAAUAAUUCAUAAGCGUACGCACAACAUUUUCAAAGCUGAUAUUUCGCUCGCUUUAUUCACUUUAUGUUGGAAGUGGAACGCUAACAAGUAGAAAUUAUAAAUUAUUGCAUUAUAUGAGAUACUUUCGAGCAAUAAUUUUAUUAUCAUGCUUAGGCUCGAAUAUGUCUCUCGUUCUUUUUUCCUAUUCAAACGUAAUUUGCGCACUAUUUUCAAAUUAAGAGCACAGAAUAAUGCAUAAAUUGCCGGCUUGAUUUAUGUAACGGAAAGCCGAGGCACAAAUCGAUUGCUCAUUAAUGAUAUUUCGCGUAAAUUUAUGCGUUUUCGUAAUUUAUGCGAUCAAGAUACAUUUAGUAGGGACAAUAUUAAAUUUUGAUUAUAUAUUUAAAGAUUAAAUAUUUCCACGGUGUUUUAUUUAGCUAACGUUUCGACUUUAUUAAUUAAUCGUAUCGUGUGGUAACGUAUUAACGUGUAAUCUUGAAAAUCUCGCACACCUGUGAGUGACGGAAUGGCAAUUUCGAGUUCAAUCUAUCUGGUAAUACAGAAUUUUUCUAGGUUUAUAGAGAGCAGCGGUAAAAAAAAGAGGAAUAUCACACUACGUGUGAUCACACUUCUCGCGCGCGCGUUACUCUUCCGUCACAAUGUAUAAUCAAAUGCACGUGUUAUAAUCAUAAAAUAAUCGCGUGCGAUUAACGUUGCAAGUGUCGUUUAAAACGCUGCGCGAUCAUUGUCUUCUGGUGAUUAGUGCGCGCACGAUCAUAAUUAACCGCGUUUUCGCGAGUGAGUAUUGUGUAAAUGACAAGAAGAGACCAAGAGAGGAGGGGGAAGAGGAUGGGGAGCCUGGGAGAGACAUCGUGGGCGACAACGAAAUAAUCAUGGGGUAAUGUAUUAUUGAAAUUUAUUAUUGUGCAAUCUAUAUACAUGUACGUAAAUGCGCAUUAAUUUCUUUAAAUGGAAUCUCUGAACUGUUCAUACGUGUACGAAUUCAUCAUGAGUGUAAAAUUACCUCUGAGUCCAUUAAUAGAUUAUUAGAGAGAUAGCAGACGGUAAUUUGUCACUGAAAUGUAUAAAAAAUUUUCGCGUGUUUUUAAAGAUAUUAAACGCGCACGAACGGUGUGCGAAGCUGGAGAGGAUAUUCCCAAGAGAUCGUAUAGUUUCCUUUGUUUUGAAACUAAACAUUUUUUUUUUUAACUAAUCCGUAGAUUAUCUGGAAGCAAACUGUCAUGGACAACAAGAUUGCGACACUUUUUCUUUCAAUGAAUUUUUGGAACGUACGAAAAUUACGAGGUCGAUCUCACGAUUUUUUGGGGGCAGUUUCUCAAUCGUGCUCUCGAACCCGUUGAAAGAAAAUGUUGCAACCUUUCUGUCCACGGCAGUAGUGUCGGUUGAUUCGGUUCGUGCAGAGAUAAAUUAAAAAAAAAAAUGAAUAAACACGCUUCGAACUGGUCGACGAUCAUCGUGUACAUCUCGUAGGGUUCGUUGUUUCCGUCUCCGUUUGGCCGAUCAAGAUCCCUCAAUUUCCCUUUCAACGGAUCGCCGCAAGAUCGAUGUGACGGCGAUGAACUUUCGUUGGCGAUCGGUCGCACCGGCUCUUGUCGGUAAUAUCACGAAAGGGCGUCCUCUUUUCCGUGACUCGAGGAACGUUAGUAAGUAAUACGCUUUUUUUCUCUCCUUUCAACGAUGUUAUCCAAUCCCGCGCUGUUGUCCUCCCGCGAAUCCUCUCAUGGUAUAAUGGAUGUCCUUCCAUCCGUCGGUGACAUUUCGCCUCCCGAGGAUUUGAGAUUGGCUAACAAGUCGUAAUAAGUUUCACGCGGAGAUCAUUAUUCUCUUAUUAGACUCCCCCCACGUCUGAUUGUUCCUUGUAUUAGGAAAGCAGACGCUUCGAGACGCAGAUGUAUAUAAUAAUAAUAAUGCCUUAUGCCACAUUAUCGUCUUAACUCUUACCGCGAGAUCGUUAGAAAAUCAAUUGAUUUUUAUCCAAGUCAUUUUACAAGAUAAUACAAGUAAUUAUCGAGUUUACUGUGUUGAAAUAUCAAUCCUAAUAUGUCAAUAACGGAUAAAGUAUAUUUAUUGCUUAUCCAUGUAAUAAAAUAAUCUGCGACCUCUUGUGACUCCUGUGUCGUUAUAUUUAAUAAGGAA
Molecule: long non-coding RNA, 3754 nt
Filed under: Monomorium pharaonis (pharaoh ant)
Lineage: Eukaryota; Metazoa; Arthropoda; Insecta; Hymenoptera; Formicidae
Description: uncharacterized LOC118646642
Source: RNAcentral